GGAUUCCAACCGUCGAAGUCUUCAAAACUAGAUCACAUGUUGAUAGGUUUUGACAAACUUUUUUUUCACACACAAAAAAACAAACGGAAAAACCGUGCCUCUCAUGGAAGGAAAAAAAUGUGUUCUAUUUUUAUUUUUCCGAGAUGCACGAUCGUGCCUCUCGCGAAAGAAAUAGAAAACGUGUUUUUUCAUUUCUGAGACGAACCGUCGUGCCUCUCAAGAAAGUAUAUCCGUGUCAAUCGCGGAAGCAAAACCAUGCUUUUCAAGAAACAAUAAAACAUGUCUUUUAGCGCAAAAAAGGUAUUUUUCGUCCAAAAUCUAAGAAAGACCGAUGAAAAACUGAAACCCCAAAAAAACACG
RNAcentral lists this long non-coding RNA (360 nucleotides) under Hordeum vulgare. Its description in RNAcentral is "long non-coding RNA (HVUL_LNC014591)". Lineage: Eukaryota; Viridiplantae; Streptophyta; Magnoliopsida; Poales; Poaceae. The record is from RNAcentral.